Panicum virgatum (switchgrass) is the source of this 1741-nucleotide long non-coding RNA. RefSeq lists it as uncharacterized. The record is from RefSeq and is a predicted model, not a curated record. Lineage: Eukaryota; Viridiplantae; Streptophyta; Magnoliopsida; Poales; Poaceae. The transcript has 4 exons.
GUUGUCCUCUGCAUCGCAUGCCGCCGCCGUCCGCCCUCUCGCACGCCCACGCCCUCGCCCUCUCGCACGCCGCCGUCCCCUCACUCUGCCCUCGCACGCCGCCGCCGCCGCACUGCCCUCGCUGUCGCCUGCCGCGGCGGCCUCCCUCCGUCGUCCCCACCGCCCUCCGUCGCCUCCCGCACUCCCAGCUCCACCGUCGUCCCCACCCCUACCCACGGCGUGCCGCCCUCAUCCGUGUCGCUGCGUCCCUCUCUCGCCGUCUCCCUCCGCCGCCGACGCCGCGAAGCCCGCGCCACCUCCGACGUCUUCCGCCACGCCGAUAAUAGAAGGAGGGAAUGCCGGGUGCUGAGUACAAUGUAAUUGUUAGAAAGGUGUUUGAUGAUGAAGAAGAAGGAUAUGAAUUUUAUAACAACUACGCUAAGGGGAAGGAUUUAGUGUCAGAAAAGACUAUUGUGAGUGGGACAUUGGCCACAAUGAGAGGACUCUUCGGCAUUUUGUUUGCAGUGUCAAGGUUUCCGCGAAGAGAAGGAGCUGAAGAGGGAGAAUAAGAAGCGGAAGCUGCAGAAUAUUACUCGGUUUGGAUGCCCUGCUAAGCUUGUUAUUGCACGGGAUCAGAACACUGGUCAGUGGCAUGUGAAGGAUUUCAUCUGCGAACACAACCAUCUGAUGGUGGAACAAGAUCUUGCUUGUCUUCUGCGGUCACAUAGAAGAAACAGAGAUGAGCAGAAAGCUGAUAUUGUGGUGAUGCAGAUUUCUGGGAUCCGCAAACACCAGAUAAUGGAUAUCAAGGAAAUGCUUUAUGGUGGGUAUGAUAAGAUUGGAUUUACAAGAAGGGACCUGUAUAUUUCUAUCAUCGCAAUAAGGUGGACACAGUGGCUGCUGGCGAUGCUCAAACAGUCACCAGUUACCUGACAGAAUGCAGACGUAGGGAUCCUGAUUUCUUCUUUGACUACAAAGACUGAUUAGAAGGGACACCUCUCUCUUUCUGCACGCGCCACGCCAUGCCUUGCGAUCCCCAAACCCUAGGCGCCAGGCCGCCAUUGGAGCCGAUCUCCAACCAGCCCGCGCCAGCGCCGCACGCUUCAGCCGCCGCCGCCCGCAGUCCUCGCUAUCUAGAGCCAUUGCAGGACGCCCAGAGAACCAAGAUGAAGCCAGGAAAAGCAUCGGAUGCGAACAAUAUCGUCGGGGGCGUCAAAAAGUUGUCCUCCUUCCCUGGAAAGAAGCAGCGCCCUCUCCGAUUCAAAGAAGGUCGAUGUGGACAAUUGAGUUCGAGUUCCGACGAUUAAGUGGCGGAAGAACAGCUACCGCAGAACCGACUCCAUAUUGAACUGAUGAUCGAUGAGAUCAAAGAGCAGAUCGAUGCCAUGGAAAGGGACAUCGAGAACCUCAGAAAGAUGGUGGGGAGAGUGGCUAAGGCGAUCCAGAAGCUCUAAAACCUAGUUGAAGCCAACAUUGCCGAGAUUUAGAAGCAUUACAAGUCAUGCUUAGUUUGAUUUAAUUUCCUUGUGGCUGCAUUCUUGCAGUUUCUGAAUAAUGUGCCCAGACUUGUAUGGAUGCUCCUUUUAUCAUCAUAAUCCUUGUAUGGAUUGUGUCUUUUUUUUUACCAUGUGUAACAUAAUUCUGCAAUUAUCAUCACUUCUUCCAUUGAAACACUUUCAGGGAGAAACAACAUGUAUAUGCAGGAUGCCCCACUUGUUUAGUUCAACAUAGUUUCAAUCAAAUUUUCCACAACUGUUGAUGA